GUGAAGGUCUCCAGCCUGCAUACUGCACAAUCAGUAUGCUGAGCCCACCACAAGGAUGAGAAUUCUGUAGAGAAUGGCUUCACCUGUCACCAGCCUUCCUGGGAACAACGUCUUUCCAACAGAAUUGGAAAAGAGCCUUCAGCCCCAGCGAGUGCUCCCAUGUUCACAGAUGCUCAUUGCAGGAGGGAGCAGCCUCAAGUAUACAGGGCUGAAAACAAAGACAUCCAAACCUUGAGCUAAACAGAAGAGGAAGAAGCCAAAAUCUUUGCCAGAGGUUUGACUGCUGGGUUUACUCAUGGCUUCAGCUGUCACCUUCAGAAAUAUGAGACCUCUCAGAUCAGGCCAUUAAUCCUGCUUCUCCCAGUGGAGUGUGACUCGUCUGGUGGGACAGGUUUGAUUGCAACUGGUUCUUCAGGCUGUCAUGACUGUGAAAGCAGACUUCAGCUGCACAUGCAGAUACCUCGGAUCCUGCUACUGCCUAAACCUAUUGAUCUGUUAUUGAGCUCGGCACCAACCGCUGGUUUAGCUCUAAAGAAGUUCAGCCUCUGCAGGCAGCUGGGAAGCAAGGCGGACUCAGAAAAGAAGUGGAUGCUCCAUCUCAUCAUAGAAUAACAGAAUAUUCCAAGUUGAAAGGGACCCAUAAGUAUCUAUCAUCAAGUCCAACUCCAGGCAUCACACAGCACCGCCCAAAAAUAAUGACCUAGCCUAUUCAAAGGAGAGAAUUCCUGCAGGAGAAAAACAAGCCAAAACAAACAAAAAAUCCCAACAAACUCACACCUGGAAAAUGCUGCUCCAUAUAGCCCCAACUGUCUUGUCCUGCUUCUAAGAGGUGUCAUGUGGCUGUUACAGAGACGUGCCCGAAAAUGGUGUUAUUAAGAGGACCAGGUGUUUGUUCAGGAGGCUGUGGGAUGCAGCCAUUCCUUGGGCACUACAGAUAUAUUUACAGCAUUAAAAGGUCAAACAAUCCCUUCAUUCCCUGUUUGCUUCAGAGAGUUUUGUUGAACAUUCUCAUUAUUCGUUGCGGUAUUUCUUUGGUUUAAGAGGAUUUCUCUGCACAACCAUAGUUAUUAGAAUGCAGUGUGUGUGCAGUGAAUGUGUUAUUACUAUAACAAGCUUCUCCUCAUAGUAGAUAUUUAUUCUGAGUGUGAGGCUUUUAGUUCAGUUGUGUGUGUGGCAGAGCAGGCGAGAUGGGGCAGGUAAUGUGGAAAAAAAGAUGGAGUAGAAUGGGGAAAGACACAAAAUUAGUAGUUUGGAGACAUGACUUCUGCCCCUAUCUUUGUGAUGGGCUCUGUGCCGACUCUUGCCUUCCCUUUCACAAAAAGGUCAGGAAAAUGAGAAGCACUGUACAACAGGCUGGGGACUCUUAG
Molecule: long non-coding RNA, 1367 nt
Filed under: Numida meleagris (helmeted guineafowl)
Lineage: Eukaryota; Metazoa; Chordata; Aves; Galliformes; Numididae
Description: lncRNA (ENSNMEG00000016465.1)
Source: RNAcentral